AGUGAACGCUGGCGGUAGGCCUAACACAUGCAAGUCGAACGGCAGCACAGUAAGAGCUUGCUCUUACGGGUGGCGAGUGGCGGACGGGUGAGGAAUACAUCGGAAUCUACUUUUUCGUGGGGGAUAACGUAGGGAAACUUACGCUAAUACCGCAUACGACCUACGGGUGAAAGCAGGGGAUCUUCGGACCUUGCGCGAUUGAAUGAGCCGAUGUCGGAUUAGCUAGUUGGCGGGGUAAAGGCCCACCAAGGCGGCGAUCCGUAGCUGGUCUGAGAGGAUGAUCAGCCACACGGGAACUGAGACACGGUCCAGACUCCUACGGGAGGCAGCAGUGGGGAAUAUUGGACAAUGGGCGCAAGCCUGAUCCAGCCAUACCGCGUGGGUGAAGAAGGCCUUCGGGUUGUAAAGCCCUUUUGUUGGGAAAGAAAAGCAGCAGGUUAAUACCCCGCUGUUCUGACGGUACCCAAAGAAUAAGCACCGGCUAACUUCGUG
RNAcentral lists this ribosomal RNA (492 nucleotides) under uncultured bacterium. RNAcentral's name for it is "partial 16S ribosomal RNA". It matches the Rfam family "Bacterial small subunit ribosomal RNA", at positions 29 to 507 of the family's 1533-position model. The record is from RNAcentral.